AUCCAACUGAGACGAAAUGACAGAGAUCAUUAUUGCCGUUGCUGCAAAAGUUUCAGAGUACUUGGUUGCUCCAAUUGGACGCCGGCUUAGUUAUCUGUUUUGCUAUCGGAACUAUACUGAUGAACUCCACAACAAAGUUGAGAAGCUGGGAAAAGAGAGGGAUGACGUGCUGAUAACUGUUGAUGAAGCUAGGAGAAGAGGGGAUAAAAUCAGACCUAUUGUUCAGGAGUGGCUGAAUCGGGUUCAUGAGAUUACAGGGGAGGCCGAGGCGUUGAAGAAGGAUGAAAACAAGAGCUGUUUCAAUGGGUGGUGUCCUAAUCUCAAGUCACGGUACCUGCUAAGCAGGGAAGCGGACAAGAAGGCGCAGGUUAUUGUUGAAGUCCAAGGAAACCGCAAUUUCCCCGAUGGCGUAUCAUUUCGUGUCCCUCCACGGAAUGUAACGUUUAAAGAAUAUGAAUCUUUUGAGUCAAGAGCCUCAACUUUGAACAAAAUUAUGGAUGCAUUAAGAGAUGAUAAGAUGAAGAUGAUUGGGGUAUGGGGGAUGGGCGGCGUGGGCAAAACCACACUGAUGAAACAAUUAGCUGAACAAGCUAAGCAAGAGAAGCUGUUCACCACAGAAGUCUAUAUACAGGUAUCUUGGACUCGAGAACCAGAAAAAAUUCAAGAAGGAAUUUCGGAUAUUCAACAAAAUAUUGCGGACAUGUUAGGCUUGGAACUUAAGGAGGUGGCUAAACCCGCUAGAGCAGGUAAACUGAUGGAGAGACUGAAGACCGAGAAGAUCCUUAUUAUCUUAGAUGACAUUUGGAAGGAAGUUAAUUUGGAGGAAGUCGGAAUUCCUUCUAAAGAUGAUCACAAAGAUUGCAAAAUAGUGUUGGCUUCUAGAGACGAAGACCUAUUACGCAAAGACAUGUGCGCACAAGAAUGUUUUCCAAUUCAACAUUUACAAGAAGAAGAAGCUUGGCAUUUAUUUAAGAAGACAGCAGGUGAUUCCGUGGAGGGGGACCAACUGCGACCCACAGCAAGGGAGGUAGUUAACGAAUGUCAGGGUCUACCAAUUGCAAUUGUAACAAUUGCGAAGGCAUUAAAAGAUGAAAGCGUGGAUAUAUGGAAGAAUGCCUUGGGCGAACUGAGGAGUUCUGCGCCAGCAAACAUCAGAGGAGUGGAGGAAAAGGUAUACACAUGUCUGGAGUGGAGUUACAACCAUUUGAAAGGUGAUGAAGUCAAGUCAUUGUUCUUACUUUGUGGUUGGUUGAGCUAUGGUGAUAUUUCAAUGGAUCGCUUGUUAAGGUAUGCUAUGGGUUUGGAUUUGUUUGACCACAUCAAGUCAUUGGAGCAAGCAAGAAAUAAACUAGUUACAUUGGUGAGAACCCUCAAAGCCUCAAGCUUGUUACUUGACGGUGAAGUUCCUAGAUACAAUCUUUUUGGACCCUCAAGUUUGCUUUUCUUGGAUGCUGAUAACAAGUCUGUCAGGAUGCAUGAUGUUGUUCGUGAUGUUGCCAGAAAUAUUGCAUCCAAGGAUCCUCAUCGAUUUGUAGUUAGAAAUAUUCCAUUGGAAGAAUGGCCAGAGACUGAUGAAUCCAAAUACAUCUCUUUAAGUUGCAAUGAUGUGCAUGAGCUUCCUCACAGGUUGGUAUGUCCGAAACUUCAAUUUUUUCUGUUGCAGAACAACAGUCCUUCCUUGAAAAUCCCAAACACAUUUUUUGAAGGGAUGAACCUACUCAAAGUUUUAGACUUGUCUGAAAUGCAUUUCACAACACUACCUUCAACGCUUCAUUCCCUUCCAAAUCUUCGAACAUUACGUCUAGACUGGUGCAAGUUGGGAGACAUAGCUCUAAUUGGAGAGCUAAAGAAACUACAAGUUCUUAGCAUGGUGGGUUCCGAUAUCCGACGAUUGCCUAGUGAAAUGGGGCAGUUGACGAAUCUAAGGCUGUUGGAUUUGAAUCGUUGUUGGCAGCUUGAAGUAAUUCCACGAAAUAUCUUAUCAAGCCUGUCUCGAUUAGAAUGUUUGUGCAUGAAACAGAGCUUUACUCAAUGGGCAGCUGAAGCAGUUAGUGAUGGAGAAAGCAAUGCUUGUUUAUCGGAGCUGAAUCAUUUGCGUCAUUUGACAACUAUACAGAUAGAAGUGCCAGCUGUCGAGUUGCUACCAAAAGAAGACAUGUUCUUUGAGAACUUGACAAGAUAUGCAAUAUUUGCAGGCAAUUUUGAUCGGUGGAAUGAAGAUUAUGAAACAUCAAAAACAUUAAAGCUGGAACAGGUUGAUACAAGCUUACUUUCGAGGGAUGGAAUUGGAAAGUUGUUGAAGAAAACUGAAGAACUAAAGUUGAGUAAUUUGGAAGAAGUAUGUCGUGGCCCAAUUCCCCUAAGGUCGUUGGAUAACUUGAAAAUUUUAGAUGUGGAGAAAUGUCAUGGAUUGAAAUUUCUCUUCUUACUUUCCACAGCUAGAGGCCUUUCCCAACUAGAAGAAAUGACAAUAAAUGAUUGCAAUGCCAUGCAACAAUUAAUCGGAUGUGAAGGCGAGUUCGAAAUAAAAGAAGUUGAUCAUGUUGGGACCGACUUGCAACUGCUUCCUAAAUUACGACUUUUGGAACUUAGGGAUCUACCAGAGCUCAUGAAUUUCGACUACUUUGGCUCUAAUUUGGAAACAACAUCGCAAGAAACAUGUUCCCAAGGCAAUCCUGAUAUCCACAUGUCAUUUUUCAGUUAUCAGGUUUCAUUCCCUAAUUUGGAGAAGUUGAUACUUGAUGAUCUUCCCAAAUUGAGGGAGAUAUGGCAUCACCAACUUCCACUUGGGUCCUUCAACAAUUUGAAAAUCUUAAGAGUUCAGAAUUGUCCAGGCCUAUUCAAUCUUAUUCCAUCUCAUUUGAUACAGAGUUUUGACAAUUUGAAAGAAUUAGAGGUGUAUAACUGUGAAGUCCUAAAACAUGUGUUUGAUCUUCAAGGACUUGAUGGAAAUAUUAGGAUUCUCCCAAGGUUAGAAUCCUUACGGUUAGAGGCACUACCUAAGUUGAGGCGUGUUGUAUGCAAUGAGGAUGAUGACAAGAAUGAUAGCGUGAGGUGUCGUUUCUCUUCUUCCACGGCUUUUCACAACCUUAAAUUCCUAUCCAUCACAAAUUGUGGGAACAAAGUUGAAGAUGAAGGACAUAUCAAUACUCCUACGGAAGAUGUAGUGCUCUUCGAUGGAAAGGUUUCAUUCCCUAAUUUGGAGGAUUUGAUACUUCGUGAUCUUCCCAAAUUGAGGGAGAUAUGGCAUCACCAACUUCCACUUGGGUCCUUCAACAAUUUGAAAAUCUUAGAAGUUCAGAAUUGUUCAGUCCUAUUCAAUCCUAUUCCAUCUCAUUUGAUACAGAGAUUGGACAAUUUGAAAGAAUUAGAGGUGAAUAAUUGUGAAGUCCUAAAACAUGUGUUUGAUCUUCAAGGACUUGAUGGAAGUAUUAGGAUUCUCCCAAUGUUAGAAUCCUUACGGUUAACGGCACUACCUAAGUUGAGGCGUGUUGUAUACAAUGAGGAUGAGGACAAGAAUGAUAGCGUGAGGUGUCUUUUCUCUUCUUCCACGACUUUUCACAACCUUAAAUUGCUAUCCAUCACAAAUUGUGGGAACAAAGUUGAAGAUGAGGAACAUAUCAAUACUCCUACGGAAGAUGUAGUGCUCUUCGAUGGAAAGGUUUCAUUCCCUAAUUUGGAAGAGUUAACACUCAAUGGUCUUCGCAAGUUAAAGAUGAUAUGGCAUCAACAACUUUCGCUUGAAUCAUCUUUUUCCAAGUUCAAGGAUUUUCAUCACCUCAAAAAGUUAAGUAUCACUAAUUGUGAGAUGCUCUUGGAUGAAAAGGUUUCAUUCCCUCCUAAUUUGGAGGAGUUGGUUUUAAAAAGCCUUCCCAAGUUGACAGAGAUAGAUAUUGGGAAUCUCUCAAAGUUAAACAUUCUAAAGUUAAAGGCACUACAUGAAUGCUUUAAGGUUUCACAUUCUCCUAAUUUGGAGGAGAUAGUUCUAAAAAGUCUUCCAAAAUUGAAGGAGAUAGAUUUUGGGAUCCUCCCUAAGUUAAAAAUCCUAAAGGUUGAGAAACUACCUCAAUUAAGACAUAUUAUAUGCAAUGAGGAUAAGAAUUUCAGCAAGAGACGUGUUUUUUCUUCAAUGUUCAAGAAUUUUCACAAUCUCAAAACGUUACAUAUCAUUGAUUGUGGGAUGGAAGACAUGAGAGGUGUCAAUACUUCUACUAAUGAUGAAGUGCUCUUCAAUGAAAAGGCUUCAUUCCUUGAAUCAAGAGCCUCCACUCUGAACGAUAUUAUGGAUGCCUUAAGAGACGACAAUAUCAACUUGAUUGGAGUAUGGGGCAAGUCCGGUGUGGGCAAAACAACACUGCUGAAACAAGUGGCUCAACAAGCUAAGCAACAACGGUUGUUCACCAGACAAGCCUAUACGGAUGUAUCCUGGACUCGAGACUCGGAUAAACGUCAAGAAGGAAUUGCGGAACUUCAACAAGAAAUUGAGAACGCGUUGGACUUGUCACUUUGGGAGGAGGAUGAAUCCGAAAAAGCGGAUGAACUGAAGCAGGAACUGAUGAAGAAAGGGAAGAUCCUUAUUAUCUUAGAUGAUAUUUGGAGGGAAGUUGAUUUGGAGAAAGUAGGAAUUCCUUGUAAAGGUGAUGAAACACAAUGCAAAAUAGUGUUGGCUUCGAGAGAUGUAGACCUAUUAUGCGAAAACAUGGGUGCACAAAUAUGUUUUCAGGUAGAACAUUUACCACCAGAAGAAGCUUGGAGUCUUUUUAAGAAGACAGCAGGUGAUUCCGUGGAGGAGAAUCUUGAACUGCGACCCAUAGCCAUUCAAGUAGUUGAAGAAUGUGAGGGUCUACCAAUUGCAAUUGUAACAAUUGCCAAGGCAUUAAAAGAUGAGACCGUGGCUGUAUGGAAGAAUGCCUUGGAACAACUUAGGAGUUGUGCACCAACAAACAUUAGAGCAGUGGAUAAGAAGGUUUACUCAUGUCUGGAGUGGAGCUACACCCAUUUGAAGGGCGAUGACGUUAAGUCAUUGUUCUUACUUUGUGGGAUGCUGGGCUAUGGUGAUAUUCCAUUGUAUCUCUUGUUACGAUAUGGUGUGGGUCUGGAUUUGUUUGGCCACAUCGACUCAUUGGAGCAAGCAAGAAAUAGACUACUUGCAUUGGUGGAAAUCCUCAAAGCCUCAGGCUUGUUACUCGACAGUCAUGAAGAUAGAGAUGGGUUUGUGAGGAUGCACGAUGUUGUUUGCAAUGUUGUCAGAGAAAUUGCAUCCAAGGAUCCUCAUCCAUUUGUAGUCAGAGAAGAUGUUGGAUUGGAAGAAUGGUCAGAGACUGAUGAAUCCAAAAGGUGCGCUUUCAUCUCUUUGCAUUGCAAAGCUGUGCAUGAGCUUCCUCAAGGGUUGGUAUGUUCGGACCUUCAAUUUUUCCAAUUGCAUAACAGCAAUCCUUCCUUGAAUAUCCCGAACACAUUUUUCAAAGGGAUGAAAAAACUCAAAGUUUUAGAUUUACCCAAAACGCAUUUUACAACGCUACCUUCAUCACUUGAUUCCCUUACAAAUCUCCAAACAUUGCGUCUAGAUGGGUGCAAGUUGGAAGACAUUGCUCUAAUUGGAAAGCUAACAAAACUAGAAGUUCUUAGCUUGAUGGGUUCUACAAUCCAACAAUUGCCUAAUGAAAUGUCGCGAUUGACCAAUCUAAGGCUGUUGGAUUUGAAUGAUUGUGAGAAGCUUGAAGUAAUUCCACGAAAUAUCUUAUCAAGUUUGUCUCAAUUAGAAUGUUUGUACAUGAAAUCUAGCUUUACUCAAUGGGCAACUGAAGGUGAAAGCAAUGCUUGCUUAUCCGAGCUAAAUCAUUUGUCUCAUUUGACAACUUUAUAUAUAUCUAUACGAGAUGCCAAGUUGCUACCAAAAGACAUUCUAUUUGAGAACUUGACAAGAUAUGUGAUAUCUAUGGGUUAUUGGCGGGGGUGGAGGUUCAGAACCAAAAAAGCAUUGGAGCUCUGGGGAGUCAAUAGAAGCUUACAUUUGGGGGAUGGAAUGAGCAAGUUGUUGGAGAGAAGUGAAGAACUAGAGUUCAGUGGAUUAAGUGGUACUAAAUAUGUUCUUCACCCAUCAGAUAGGGAGAGUUUCCUUGAACUAAAGCAUCUCAAAGUUGCUGGUAGUCCUGAGAUUCAAUACAUCAUGGAUUCAAAGAAUCAACAGUUGUUGCAACAUGGUGCCUUUCCUCUAUUGGAGUCAUUGGUUCUUGACGCUCUGGACAAUUUGGAAGAAGUAUGGCAUGGCCCAAUUCCAAUAGGGUCUUUUGGUAACUUAAAAACUCUAAACGUGGAUUCAUGUCCUAAAUUGAAAUUUCUCGUUCUGCUUUCCACGGCUAGAGGCCUUUCCCAACUUGAAGAAAUGACAAUAAAAGAUUGCAAUGCCAUGCAACAAAUAAUCGCAUAUGAAAGGGAGUCAAAAAUAGAAGAAGAUGGACAUGUUGGGACCAACUUGCAACUAUUCCCAAAAUUGCGAUCCUUGAAACUCCAGAGUCUACCACAGCUCAUCAACUUCAGUUCCGAGUUAGAAACAACAUCUUCCACAUCUUUGAGUACAAAUGCAAGGUCGGAAGACUCAUUUUUCAGUCAUAAGGUUUCAUUCCCUAAGCCAGAGAAGUUGAUACUCUAUAAUGUGCCCAAGUUGAAUCUUUCUUCAAUCUACGGAUCUUAAGGGUGUAGGAAUGUCCAUGUCUACUUAAUCUUGUCCCAGCUCAUUUGAUACACAACUUCCAGAAUUUAAAAAAGAUAGAUGCGCAAGAUUGUUAACUCCUAGAGCAUGUGAUUAUUCUUCAAGAAAUUGAUGGAAAUGUUGAGAUCCUCUCAAAGUUAGAAACCUUGAAAUUGAAGAACUUGCCUAGGCUGAGAUGGAUUGAAGACGGGAAUGAUAGGAUGAAACAUAUUUCCUCUCUUAUGACACUCAUGAAUAUUCAAAACCUUCAAGAACUACAUAUCAUUGAUUGUAGUAUGGAAGAACUGCGGAAGAUGUAGUACUCUUUUGUGAGAAGGUACACUGGAUUUCCUUUUAUGUUCUGCUCUAUUUGAGAUGAAGUACAGAUGCAGCCUUUGAAAGAGAAAUUAUUAAUGAUGUUUGAGAAAUUGUCAAUGAUGUUUUCUUUAAUCAUUUCCUUCAUUUGAUAGAGUUUAUUUACUCAAGCACAUGUUAGAUUUUCAUAUGCAUUUUGUUAUGUUCAUUGUUAUAUCCCUAAUAAAAUUGUUUGUUAAGUGUGUGGUCUUGCACAAUGAUGAAAGUUUUAAUUUAUUAGUA
This is an RNA transcript of Vitis riparia (riverbank grape), 7288 nucleotides long. RefSeq lists it as uncharacterized. Lineage: Eukaryota; Viridiplantae; Streptophyta; Magnoliopsida; Vitales; Vitaceae. The transcript has 9 exons. The record is from RefSeq and is a predicted model, not a curated record.